This 187-nucleotide unclassified non-coding RNA is filed under the name rhizosphere metagenome. RNAcentral's name for it is "partial ribosomal RNA internal transcribed spacer region". The record is from RNAcentral.
GAGACGUUGCCCUUCGGGGUAUACCUCCCGCCCUUUGUUUAUUUAUACCUUUGUUGCUUUGGCAGACCCGGCUUCGGCCCACCGGCUGCGGCUGGUCAGUGUCUGCCAGAGGACAAAACUCUGUUUGUUAAUAUUGUCUGAGUACUAUAUAAUAGUUAAAACUUUCAACAACGGAUCUCUUGGUUCU